Molecule: long non-coding RNA, 560 nt
Organism: Danaus plexippus (monarch butterfly)
Lineage: Eukaryota; Metazoa; Arthropoda; Insecta; Lepidoptera; Nymphalidae
Exons: 2
Source: RefSeq, a predicted model, not a curated record
UCAUGUCAGUUUGAUUCAGUGCGACUACAGAGUUGCUUGUUUGCUCGUUGGUUCAGUAAUAUUAAAGUUAAAAGAUAAAAUGUAUAGAAAUUGUUUAAUAAAACAUAUAAAAUAUAUUUAAGUGUAAAAAUAAAACUAAAACUCUCAAUAUCAGACAUUUCAGUGUCAAGGUUUUGGCGGGCUCUAUAUAUAAAUGGCGGAAUUUUUGCUUAUUGGUAGAACGUACAUUAUGGUACACUUCAACUAUUGAGCUCGCGUUAGCUCGUAAUGUCGUCUGGUGGCAGCGCUGGACGCUGUGCCACGAAGCUGCAUCACCUGCCGUGUCCUUGUCAGUCUCCUUGCCCGGUGUUAUCGCUACUGGACGGAGAACUGAUAAGGGCAUGUCUUGUGAACCACUACCCUCACAUAACGAAGUCUAAUACAUGUGCUGAAGUGUAUAAAAAUGUCGUUUUCACCAAUUAAAAUUGUUGAAAUAUUUUUUUUGUUUAAUUUCUUUUAAAUAAACGUAUGAUUAUGUAUUAUUUAUAUUAAUUUAUUCUAAAUAAAUGAUUAAAAAUAUA